ACAAAUUUAUCAACGUGAAAUUAUUCAUAGUGUGCGACGGUGGUGUCUAAGAACAUAGGGUUUCUUUCGUGUAUAAUCGAUAAUUUAUAAAUACCUAUUAAAAGAAUUCUUUUCACUAUUCCAUGAUGUUGGAGUAUCAGUAGAACUUGAUCUUUGAGCACGUAACAAUGCAUAAUUAACCCGUUGUGAUCACUGAGGGUCCAAUCGAUCUCGUGUGACCAUUAUGAAAUUAAUCGAAGGUGUAACCACAACGCGGGUUAAUAUCAUUUGCAGCAUAACGUUAUUUUUCCGCAUAUUUUGUAUAAUGUAAUCAAAACAUCAUAUUUUUUUUUAUAACAUAAUUUCACAACUUAAUCGCAGUUGAUUUGAUGUACAUUCAAAUUUUGCUUCUAUCGGUGGGCUCUUUGAUAGAAAGUAGAGCAAUCUCGUAUAUAUGCAUAUUUAAUAAAACAAAUCUUUAAAUUUAAAACUAUUUUAUUUAAACUGUCUCUAUAAAUAUAUUAAUUUCGACAAGAGACGCCGCUCGAGAUAGACGAGUUUUCGUCCGGUUCGCGCAGAAGUAACCCCCACUACACCGUUUUACUUGGGCUGAACGUUAUGUCCUCUCCACUCUGAUCUUCUUAGUCGCCAUUGUGCGCACUCCGAGCGAGGUCUCUCGUUGAAAUUAGUAUAGAUGUUGUAUCUGAUUUUUAUUUUUAAUUUUCCUCAGUGUACUCACUAAAUUCUAUUUUUAUUGCUAGAAAAUAAAAACAAAAGCCCCGUGUACACGCUCGUCUAAUAGAACAAGAGCCAUCAUUUCUCCUGCGCUUUUAAACUUUACGAAAUUAUGACUUACGAUUCGUCACCCCAAUCACGGUAUUCUUUCGGAAUUUUCUCAAAUAAACAAAAUGUAAUUUUUUUGACGAAACGAAAAGAAAUAGGGCAGGAGAGAGAAGAAAACGAAAGUUUUUUGUAAUCUUUUGUAAAAGCCUAUGUACUUUGUAUCACAAUGUUUAAAUUUUAUAGAAACGUCUGGCACGAUUAAAAAUAUAAUUUUCGCUACCAGUACACCAAAAAUAAUCCUUUUUUCACUUUACACAAAAGGACCAAAUUUCGAAGCACAGAUAGCAAAAAAUAAUGUGGGACAGGUACGAAUUAGCGGGUUAUUGCCCGCUCUCGCGGAUAAACGUAUGUCGCCUUCGGCUCGUGCAUUUAUAUCCCGCACUUAUGGGCAAUUAGUCGAUUUAUCACUAAUUGCACAAAUACCUAUUUUUAUCAAGUUUUCCUACCAACUGGUUAAAAGGCCAGUAUUCGAUAAUAAAUUAUCAAUGAAUAAGAACAUUUUAUUUUUUUAGUAGUUCAUUAAAUACAACGAGUAAUAUAUUUUUGUGUUUUAUAAAUAUUUUAACUUUUUGUCUUAACAAAAUAAGUUUGUUUUUUAGUGUAACACAUAAAAUGUUUAAUGUUAAGCUAUUACUAAUUUAAUACAUAAUAGCAGUAUUAUUUAUGGCCAACUAUUAAAUAUUCCAGAGGCUGUUGAUAGAAAACAUUUACCGAUGGCUAAAGAAAAAUUAUCGCAACGCCAUCAAAUGUUUCUUAUAUUAAUAAAAACUGAAGAAGAUUACGUAGAAAUCCUCCAUAUAAUUAUAGAGAGUAAGUAUUUACUAUCCAUUGAAACGAGUUUUACAUUUUUUUAUUGCUUUUUUAAUCAUCGAUUUAUGCACAUUUUUUAUGAUUACAGUUUAAAUUGAAACUGGAAUCUCUCAUAGGCAAAAGUGGGGAAGAAUUGCUAAAUAGCACGGAAGUGAACAUUAUAUUAGGUAAUUUUCCACUUAUCUAUAACAUUCAUGAACAGUUGUUGGAGGCACUGUAUCGUAAUGCUGCUCAUUGGACAGAAGAUAUCAGCAUCGGCGAAAUAUUUUUCAAGUUUACACCAUAUUUGGUUAACGCAUAUUUUCCAUACGUCAACUUCUUCAAAAAUACAAAACAAAUUUAGUGCGAUCAAAAUAAGCCGCAAUUUCACACUUUGUUAAACAUUCGUGAAAUAAUAACAAAUUACGGUAAAGAAAGCUUAAGGGACCUGUUAAUUAUGCCAAUACUAAGAUUAUGUAGUUAUAAUUUAUUCCUAAACACUUUUUGAGCAUACGAAAAAAAAUGAUCCGGAUUAUAAUGUGUUGAAGAAUUCUAUUAGCCACAUUAUAAAAGUAUUGAUGUAUACAAAAAAUAUCAAAUGGAAAACUGAACGUCUGUUAACAAUAUUAAAUAUUUUUUAUAAAAUUAAUAAUUGUCCGCCACAAAUAAUUUCCUUGCAUAGAUUGUUUAUCAAUCAAUGUGACGUAACGGUGAUUAGUGGUGAUCUUAGUAAACGAGGAGACCGUUUAUCGUUAUUCCUAUUUAAUGACACUCUUAAAAUAUGCAAGAGAAGAUCGAAAUCUGGGUCAUUAAAUAGUCUUAAAAAUGUAAUCGGUUGAAAAAAAAGCUGUGCCAAGGAAAGCCGUAUGAGGAUAUUGAAAUGUAGUCGCUAAGUACUAUAAACAAAAUCGUGGAUGUAACUGAUCAAUGUCACAAUGUAUUAUAUAUGGGCUCAUUGUACGAAGCCUUCAGGACCUAAGAAAAAAAUAUUUUUGGUUCAUAAUUACUAAAAAAAUAUAAAUAAAAGAAAUUAUUUAUAUAUUUUAUGUAUGCAAUUGUAUUUCACUAUCCGUAUAACUGAUACUGAUGCAUUCCUCAUUACACGUGAUUCGAAUCAUCUUAAAGCUAGUAUUGAUGCUGUGGCAUCAAAACAUUAAAAGUACAGUUACAAUAAAUGGACGUGUAAAAGAAAUCUUACAAGAAAAAUAAUUUAGCCUACAAAAUAAGUUUAAUAACCUAAAAGAUAAAAAAAGCAACAAUGGAAAACAUUAAUGACAAAUAAAUAUAUAUGAUAAACGAAUAAAAAAAAUCUCAAAAUUUUAUCGAUGCUAUUCUCUUGUUCUUUGGAAGAAAAAAGACAGUCGCCAUAGAGCGAGCAUUCUGAAAAUAGAGGUUCAGAAAGAAAAAGACAUAGUACUGUACCGUUCUCCCUUGUUUCGCUUAUGCGUACAAGUAAAAGGAGCACUAAGAAGAAACGAGAAACGUUGAACGAUGAACUGUGAAACGAAAGGGAAGUACAAUUGGGAAACACGGCACGUCUAUUGUAUAGUAUGUAUAAUUUUGUAUAAUUAUAUUUUUCUUUUCUACUUAUUAUUUAUUAUACAUCAUAAUUGUGGAUAUCGUUAUGGUGAAUGGGUGUUAAUGCAAGAAAAUAUGCAAGGAAAUGUAACGCGUAUUUCCGCCUCGUUUUUGGAUGACCUAUUGCAAACGCUCACGCAUUUUGAUACAAGCUUCAAUUGUGGCUUUCUUCCAUUAACACUCACACACACUUGCCCACACAAUUGCGAGCGCGAGGGCGCGCGCGCACACACACACACACAAUGUGCAAAAUCCGACCAGCAAUCUCUUUGUAGUGAACAUCGAGAGUAACGUUAAUAUUAAUGCUGGUAAAUGAGCAAAAUGCACAUGUAACUUUGAUUCUCUUCAAUUCCGCAAAGAAAAAUCGUACGAAUUUUAACUUUGUUUUAAUUUGCGAGAAAAAGUUCAACUUGUACGACGAUUGUGAUGACAUUUGCGGAAAAAGUUUAUUCUACUCCGUGGAAUGUGUCAAACUUGUGCAAUUCUGAUUUCUCUGUAAAAUAACUUUGAUUAUCAGAAACAGUUUAUUCUUCUAACAUUUCAUUGUUUUUUUCAAAAGUUGCUUUAAAAAUACAGAAUAAUCAAGUAAAUUCAGUUUUUUUAAAUAUUUCAUGUUCUUUGUAUGAAAUCCAAUAUUUCGUAACGAGAUCUCAUAUUUUAUAUGUAUUUUUUUUACAGAUUUGGAAAUUCUUUUCCAGAAUUAAAAUAUACAUAUCUGUUUGGACUUUCUACCAAGAAUAAAGAAAAUAAGAAAAAAAUGUAUUAAUAAUAUAUAUUAAUGAAUUUUAAUUAUGAACCCCAAUUAAGUUUGCCGGUCAUUUUGGCAUUCUUCCUCUAACUCUAAAUUAAGUAUUGACGAAAUUUUUGUAGUUUUAAGUUUCUUUAAAAGUUGAGUGCGUCUUUCCUGUAUCGAAAAAUACUCCGACGCAAUUGUUUCUCUCAUUCAAGUUUUUUCGCAUUACUCGUGCAAAGCCACGAACUCAUCUCGGGAAAGUUCCACUCCUGUUCAUAUUCUCGUGGAUUGUUCGUUCGAAUCCUCGACGCAUUUUCAUUAAGAAAUCAACGUGUGUGAAAUUAGCAUUUCAAAGUUUAGCAUCUCAUAAAAAUACUGUAUCCAGCAUAGUUCUACAGUUCUUGAUAGGUUUCAACAAUAGUUCCGUUGAAUUACGUAUUUUAAUUAAAUUUUUAUAAAUGAGAUGCUAACUUCCAAAAUCACAUAAUAGCAUCUCACCGUAUUUCGAAUAUACGACCAUAGAGAAGACUAAAUCUAUAGAGUUCUAUCGUUUAAAGACGUCCUGUCAAUAGUUCUAAUGAUUAAAUUAAUUUAAAAAAAUUUUUUGUUACAAAACAUACGUAUAUAUGCGUAUACGUCUGCGCACGUGGAUUUGGUGUAACUAGCAUCUCAGAUAGA
Molecule: long non-coding RNA, 4600 nt
Organism: Monomorium pharaonis (pharaoh ant)
Lineage: Eukaryota; Metazoa; Arthropoda; Insecta; Hymenoptera; Formicidae
Exons: 5
Source: RefSeq, a predicted model, not a curated record